This is a non-coding RNA of Desertifilum sp., 37 nucleotides long. The record is from Rfam. NCBI's taxonomy places the organism in Bacteria, Bacillati, Cyanobacteriota, Cyanophyceae, Desertifilales, Desertifilaceae.
AUUGCAAUUACUCCUAAUCCCUAUUAGGGAUUGAAAC